This 91-nucleotide transfer RNA is filed under the name Brevibacterium rongguiense. RNAcentral's name for it is "Brevibacterium sp. 5221 tRNA-Ser". It matches the Rfam family "tRNA". From Rfam's summary of the family: Transfer RNA (tRNA) molecules are approximately 80 nucleotides in length. Their secondary structure includes four short double-helical elements and three loops (D, anti-codon, and T loops). The record is from RNAcentral. Lineage: Bacteria; Bacillati; Actinomycetota; Actinomycetes; Micrococcales; Brevibacteriaceae. RNAcentral also lists the same sequence under 1 other name.
GGUGAGUUGACAGAGCGGCCGAAUGUGACGGUCUUGAAAACCGUUGAUGGGCAACCCCCAUCCCAGGGUUCGAAUCCCUGACUCACCGCCA